CCCUUAGAUGUUCUGGGCCGCACGCGCGCUACACUGACUGACUCAACGAGUGUACAACCUGCUUCGACAGAAGUGGGUAAUCUUUUGAAAUUCAGUCGUGAUGGGGCUAGAUUAUUGCAACUAUUAAUCUUCAACGAGGAAUGCCUAGUAAGCGCGAAACAUCAGUUCGCGUUGAUUACGUCCCUGCCCUUUGUACACACCGCCCGUCGCACCUACCGAUUGAAUGGUCCGGUGAAAUCUCCGGACUGGCGUGAGUCGGAGCAAUCUGACAAACGCCGGAAAGUUGAUUAAACCUUACCAUUUAGAGGAAGGUGAAGUCGUAACA
This 325-nucleotide ribosomal RNA is filed under the name uncultured eukaryote. RNAcentral's name for it is "partial 18S ribosomal RNA". It matches the Rfam family "Eukaryotic small subunit ribosomal RNA", at positions 1470 to 1796 of the family's 1831-position model. The record is from RNAcentral.